This 349-nucleotide small RNA is filed under the name Peptoniphilaceae. Its description in RNAcentral is "Mediannikoviicoccus massiliensis Standard tmRNA". It matches the Rfam family "transfer-messenger RNA". From Rfam's summary of the family: Bacterial tmRNA, also known as 10Sa RNA or SsrA, is named for its dual tRNA and mRNA-like properties. Its role is to liberate the mRNA from a stalled ribosome. The record is from RNAcentral. Lineage: Bacteria; Bacillati; Bacillota; Tissierellia; Tissierellales. RNAcentral also lists the same sequence under 1 other name.
GGGGAUGACCUUGGUUUCGACGGGGAUACUGAAUUCGGAAUAGCGAGUCGUUUUCGUCUACAAACGUAAAAAAAGGACAACUAAAUAUAAACGCUGAAGAUAAUUUAGCAUUAGCUGCCUAAUUUGGCAGUAGUCCGCCUUGGCUUUCUCGCAGUCCAAGGCCUGACUUCAAAUUUAGCGAGACACUGAUUCAAGUUCGUUUCGCCUUGAAUUUAGUAUUAGAAACUACCUAAUACAUGUAUUUGCUUGUUGUUUAUUGUAUUAGGGAACAAAUCACAAUAAGCUGCACUCGGAGAAGUUCCCUUGGAUGUAUUUUCGGACAGGAGUUCGACUCUCCUCAUCUCCACCA